GAUGAACGCUGGCGGCGUGCCUAAUACAUGCAAGUUGAGCGAACAGAUGAGGAGCUUGCUCCUCUGACGUUAGCGGCGGACGGGUGAGUAACACGUGGAUAACCUACCUAUAAGACUGGGAUAACUUCGGGAAACCGGAGCUAAUACCGGAUAAUAUAUUGAACCGCAUGGUUCAAUAGUGAAAGACGGUUUUGCUGUCACUUAUAGAUGGAUCCGCGCCGCAUUAGCUAGUUGGUAAGGUAACGGCUUACCAAGGCAACGAUGCGUAGCCGACCUGAGAGGGUGAUCGGCCACACUGGAACUGAGACACGGUCCAGACUCCUACGGGAGGCAGCAGUAGGGAAUCUUCCGCAAUGGGCGAAAGCUUGACGGAGCAACGCCGCGUGAGUGAUGAAGGUCUUCGGAUCGUAAAACUCUGUUAUUAGGGAAGAACAAAUGUGUAAGUAACUAUGCACGUCUUGACGGUACCUAAUCAGAAAGCCACGGCUAACUACGUG
This 497-nucleotide ribosomal RNA is filed under the name uncultured bacterium. RNAcentral's name for it is "partial 16S ribosomal RNA". It matches the Rfam family "Bacterial small subunit ribosomal RNA", at positions 28 to 507 of the family's 1533-position model. The record is from RNAcentral.